This 71-nucleotide transfer RNA is filed under the name Caudoviricetes sp. Its description in RNAcentral is "tRNA-Gln". It matches the Rfam family "tRNA". From Rfam's summary of the family: Transfer RNA (tRNA) molecules are approximately 80 nucleotides in length. Lineage: Duplodnaviria; Heunggongvirae; Uroviricota; Caudoviricetes. The record is from RNAcentral.
AGGGAUGUAGUUCAAAGGGAGAAUAUCCGGUUUUGACCCGGAUGCAGAGGGUUCGAUACCUUCCAUCCCUG